AUGCACCUUCCAAUGCUCUUUUAGCCAAAAAAACUUCUUAUCCACUAUCUAGGUAGUUUCCUUCUAAGUUCAUUGUAUGCACCAGCCAUAAAUAAAAAAGCAGAGGCUGUUAUGUCAUCCAUGGUGAUUUGUAGAACACAAUAUAAUCAAAAUCAGCCACCGAACCUCACCGCAUCACAAUAAAAGAGAACACUGCCUUGUCUGCCAGUUGUAGUCGCAGGUCUUGUGCCUGGAAUGGAAACGGCAUGACAAACUACGUGCGACAUGUGCCUCGUCAUGGUCUCGACAUGUGCCUCGACUUGUGCCUGCGACUUGUAGGAAUGGAAAUGUAGCUUAAGGGUACUCACGGCGUAGUGCUUGAUAUCCUGACCCUAGAAAAGAUGACGUGCAGUCAGUGGUGGAUCUAGAACAGUCACAAGGAGGGGGGGACCAGGGUGUCUGAGAGGUUCGGGGGUACCCCCUCCCUCCCCAAAAAUUUGUUUAAACUAAGUCUUCAAAAAUGGCAGUUUUAUACCAUUUCUUUGUCCUAAGUUAGUGUGACAAAUUAUUUUACGCAAUUUGUAUGCACUACUGUAUUACAUGCAGUCAAAAAUAUAUGACAUAUAUUUCCAAACUGCGACUGCCCCCCCCCCCUCUGGAUCCGCCACUGGGGUGCAGGAGUACUAUACCAGAAGAGCACAAAAUAUAGACUUUUCCUGCUGUCGUCUCAAACGUACCUAGAAUAGCUAUCCUCGUUCUACUAUUAACUACAACUCAUAACUGCCUACUCAUUUGCAGGAGAUGGAUGCACCCUCCUUCAGAAGGCGCUGAAAGGAAUACUAAUUAUAGGCCGCUGUACUCCGUAAAAGAACUUAAGGAAGAGCACCUAGUGAGAUAAGUGUAUGUCUGCCAUAUCAUCCGUUAAACAGCCAGAUUUUUGAAGGAAGAAAGAUGUAGCCCCAGCUCUGGACAAAAAUAUUAUGGAGAAGGUUGGCCGCUGUACAGGGCAGCUAUAGUUAUUAUUAUAUGUUGCCUUUUAUUGUUAUGUACUGUUUUUAUACUUUACCAAUAAACCUUAUAUUUAUCUA
This is a long non-coding RNA of Macrosteles quadrilineatus (aster leafhopper), 1067 nucleotides long. RefSeq lists it as uncharacterized. The record is from RefSeq and is a predicted model, not a curated record. NCBI's taxonomy places the organism in Eukaryota, Metazoa, Arthropoda, Insecta, Hemiptera, Cicadellidae. The transcript is spliced from 2 exons.